UACGUAGGUGGCAAGCGUUGUCCGGAUUUAUUGGGUUUAAAGGGUGCGUAGGCGGCCCUGUAAGUCAGUGCUGAAAUAUCCCGGCUUAACCGGGAGGGUGGCAUUGAUACUGCGGGGCUAGAGUACAGAUGAGGUAGGCGGAAUUGACGGUGUAGCGGUGAAAUGCGCAGAUAUCGGGAGGAACACCUAUGGCGAAGGCAGCUCGCUGGGACGUUACUGACGCUGAGACGCGAAAGCGUGGGGAGCAAACAGG
This 253-nucleotide ribosomal RNA is filed under the name uncultured bacterium. Its description in RNAcentral is "partial 16S ribosomal RNA". It matches the Rfam family "Bacterial small subunit ribosomal RNA", at positions 524 to 776 of the family's 1533-position model. The record is from RNAcentral.